AGUUAGGAGUAGAAGGAAAAUCUCCAGUGUGGAAGAAUAAAGUUAACCUCCCAGAUUAUAAAAGCAAGAAGCCAGUAGAAAGACUCCUGAGAAAGAAAGAUCUGAGUAUUUUCACUUGAUGGAAGACUCAAGACUGGAGUGCGUUACAGCUGGGGAUGUGAGUCAGCUUUCCUGAGGCAAAGGUGUUUCUGAGCGGUGCUCCUUCUCAUGAACAAGUUUGGUUCAGUUUUCUGAGAAGAUGAGAUCCUAGCCUGACCAGUGCUUACCUUGCUGCUUGACAUCCCUAAUACCUCAAGCCACUGACUUUAGAGCCUAUUGAUAGGCCAGAGAGAAGAGGUUGAGAAAGUCCUGAACCAUUUAAAUUCAAGGAUGGUAGAUGCUUCUUGAAAGUUGGUGUUAGUUUAGGAGAUACAGUAUACAGUCUGUGUAAAGUUGUAAGUAUCUAAUACAAUCUCCACAUGUAUUUUGAUUUAGCUGCAGACCACUCCCACCAAGCCCCACUCCCCCUCCAAAAUAUGUAACUUGAUUGAGGUUUUAUUUGAUUCUUCUUUUUUCAAGAGGAGGAAA
This is a long non-coding RNA of Perognathus longimembris pacificus (Pacific pocket mouse), 567 nucleotides long. RefSeq lists it as uncharacterized. The record is from RefSeq and is a predicted model, not a curated record. The transcript is spliced from 2 exons. NCBI's taxonomy places the organism in Eukaryota, Metazoa, Chordata, Mammalia, Rodentia, Heteromyidae.